This 634-nucleotide ribosomal RNA is filed under the name Vibrio sp. KR05-10. Its description in RNAcentral is "bacterial SSU rRNA". It matches the Rfam family "Bacterial small subunit ribosomal RNA", at positions 99 to 729 of the family's 1533-position model. Lineage: Bacteria; Pseudomonadati; Pseudomonadota; Gammaproteobacteria; Vibrionales; Vibrionaceae. The record is from RNAcentral.
CGGACGGGUGAGUAAUGCCUAGGAAAUUGCCUUGAUGUGGGGGAUAACCAUUGGAAACGAUGGCUAAUACCGCAUAAUGCCUACGGGCCAAAGAGGGGGANCUUCGGACCUCUCGCGUCAAGAUAUGCCUAGGUGGGAUUAGCUAGUUGGUGAGGUAAUGGCUCACCAAGGCGACGAUCCCUAGCUGGUCUGAGAGGAUGAUCAGCCACACUGGAACUGAGACACGGUCCAGACUCCUACGGGAGGCAGCAGUGGGGAAUAUUGCACAAUGGGCGAAAGCCUGAUGCAGCCAUGCCGCGUGUAUGAAGAAGGCCUUCGGGUUGUAAAGUACUUUCAGUUGUGAGGAAGGGGGUANCGUUAAUAGCGUUAUCUCUUGACGUUAGCAACAGAAGAAGCACCGGCUAACUCCGUGCCAGCAGCCGCGGUAAUACGGAGGGUGCGAGCGUUAAUCGGAAUUACUGGGCGUAAAGCGCAUGCAGGUGGUUCAUUAAGUCAGAUGUGAAAGCCCGGGGCUCAACCUCGGAACUGCAUUUGAAACUGGUGAACUAGAGUACUGUAGAGGGGGGUAGAAUUUCNGGUGUAGCGGUGAAAUGCGUAGAGAUCUGAAGGAAUACCAGUGGCGAAGGCGGCCCCC